AGUUUUGCAUGGUUGCACUACAAGAAGAAAUUAGUUGUGCAAAUCUAUGCAAAACUGA
This 58-nucleotide microRNA precursor is filed under the name Callorhinchus milii (elephant shark). RNAcentral's name for it is "Cmi-Mir-19-P1a-v2_pre stem-loop". It matches the Rfam family "mir-19 microRNA precursor family", at positions 11 to 71 of the family's 79-position model. Rfam says of the family: The hairpin precursors (represented here) are predicted based on base pairing and cross-species conservation -- their extents are not known. The record is from RNAcentral. Lineage: Eukaryota; Metazoa; Chordata; Chondrichthyes; Chimaeriformes; Callorhinchidae.